Molecule: long non-coding RNA, 581 nt
Organism: Xenopus laevis (African clawed frog)
Lineage: Eukaryota; Metazoa; Chordata; Amphibia; Anura; Pipidae
Exons: 6
Source: RefSeq, a predicted model, not a curated record
AAUGUUCAGUGCAAUAUAAAGAGGCAGUGCAACAAAUUGUAUUCAGCACUUUGUUUCUUCUGGUAUUGAAAACUUAAUACAUUUGAAAGUCCUUCUGAGCCAUCUGCUAAUAUACACAGCAGGAAGAAAGUCCCUACCCUUUAAAGCUUAAAGUGGAAGCAGGAUGUACAAAGAUAUAUUUUUCUGUCUAUUCCUUGCUGCCCUCUGUGCCAACUCAAUGACACAGCCUUUAGCCUCUAAAGCUGAUGUGUCUGAACGAUAUGUCAAAGGAAUGUCACCUCAAGCUAGAGCAACUAUGGGAAAUUUUGCAAAUGUUGCUCUUGACUCUCUUGCACGUCGUAGUACUGUGAACCCCAAGACUAUUGCUGCUGUUUUCAAUAAAAUGAGAGCAGGUGUUGCCCUCACUCCUGAAGAGAAGAACAUUGUAGAUAAAUACAUACUCAGGAAUGGAUGAAAAAGGAGUUUCAAUUACUUGGAUGGAGUUUGAAGAUUGCUGUACAGAAUAGCAUGAACCAUCUGUAACUCCAAAACUAUAAAUUCCUGUUGCUAAACAGAAGAAAUAAAGUGACUUAUAUACAAUA